RNAcentral lists this ribosomal RNA (875 nucleotides) under uncultured bacterium. Its description in RNAcentral is "bacterial SSU rRNA". It matches the Rfam family "Bacterial small subunit ribosomal RNA", at positions 8 to 916 of the family's 1533-position model. The record is from RNAcentral.
AGAGUUUGAUUAUGGCUCAGAAUCAACGCUGGCGGCGCGCCUAACACAUGCAAGUCGAACGAGAAAGGGGAGCAAUCCCUGAGUACAGUGGCGUACGGGUGAGUAACACGUGGAUGAUCUGCCUCUUUGUGGGGAAUAACCCUGGGAAACCGGGGCUAAUACCGCAUAAGCCCGAGAGGGGAAAGCAGCAAUGCGCAGAGAGAGGAGUCCGCGGCCGAUUAGCUAGUUGGCGGGGUAAAAGCCCACCAAGGCAAAGAUCGGUAGCCGGCCUGAGAGGGCACACGGCCACACUGGCACUGAAACACGGGCCAGACUCCUACGGGAGGCAGCAGUGGGGAAUCUUGCACAAUGGGGGAAACCCUGAUGCAGCGACGCCGCGUGAGCGAUGAAGCCCUUCGGGGUGUAAAGCUCUUUCGGCAGGGAAGAUGAUGACGGUACCUGCAGAAGCAGCUGCGGCUAACUACGUGCCAGCAGCCGCGGUGAUACGUAGGCAGCAAGCGUUGUUCGGAGUUACUGGGCGUAAAGGGUGUGUAGGCGGUCCCUUAAGUUUGUUGUGAAAUCUCCCGGCUCAACUGGGAGGGUGCGGCGAAUACUGAGGGGCUAGAGUGCGGGAGAGGAAAGUGGAAUUCCUGGUGUAGCGGUGAAAUGCGUAGAUAUCAGGAGGAACACCGGUGGUGUAGACGGCUUUCUGGACCGUAACUGACGCUGAGACACGAAAGCGUGGGUAGCAAACAGGAUUAGAUACCCUGGUAGUCCACGCCCUAAACGAUGCAUAUUUGGUGUGGGUCAUUCAGUUGAUCCGUGCCGGAGCUAACGCGUUAAAUAUGCCGCCUGGGGAGUACAGUCGCAAGGCUGAAACUCAAAUGAAUUGACGG